GAUAACAGAGUGAGACUCUGUCUCAAAAAAAAAAAAGAAAAAAAUCCCAUUUCAGAAAUCUGAAAAAAUAUGCAUCUUUUAAUUAUUGAACUAUAGCACAUCCUUUAACUAUCUUCAAUUUUGUUUUAACUAAAAAGUGUUAUUCAUCUAUAAUUUAUAUUUCACUUCAAUGUUAAGACUACCUAGGCAGAGCCUCAAUUCAACUUUCUGGGCCAUGGUUUUGUUGUGGUUGCUAUUGUUUUGUUUAGUUUUUUUUUUUUUUCUUUUCAUCUACUUUUUAAAUUGAGAUAUACUUAGCAUAAAAUUCAUCCUUUUAAAAUGUAAAAUUCAGUAGUUUUUAGUGUAUUCACAAAGUUGUUCAAUCACUAUUAUCCACAAUACUUUCAUUGUAUGCAAUUCUCUACCUGAUUAGCAGGUAUUCCCCAUUAACACCUUCCAAGGUCUUUGAUAAAUUUUUAUAUGUGGAGUAAGGGGUCCAUCUUCAUUCUUACAUGUGAGUAUCCAGUUGUCCCAGGGCCCAUGCUGUUUUCUUUGUUUUAUUCCAUUUAUUUGGCCAUUCACCAAUACGUUUUGAAUACCUGCUAUGUCCAAGACAGUAAUAUAAUCCAAAGUUCUAUCAUUUUGUGAUCCUUAAAUAGUUUACAAAGAAAAAAAUGUGAGAAUUAAUGGGAACAAAUAUUUACCAAGAUUUCUCUAACAUUGUUUUUGGGCCAUCAUCUACCCUGUUUAGAGAAAUAUCAUUAAAUCCUCCUGUCCUAGCAAUUACAAUUAUUUUCCUUCAAUCUUUGAUGACUUUGACCUCAUAGUCAGAAUGCAGCAUUGAUGAUCAUUCUGAGUCUUAACUUUGCCUUACUGAGAAAGCAGAGAAGAGAGGGAUGGAGGGGCAGUGAUUUGAGUUGAAUAAGAUGGUAGCUAGUAGGAGAGGAUGAAGACCUUGUCAGGAGAACUGUGUAAGAAGAUAAUAGUCGCAACCCUCUGUCAUAAUUUUGCAUUUGAUCUUUCUUAAAACUUGACACAUUUAGGCUUAUUCCAGGAAAUUGAAGUUUUUUAAACAUGCAAAUUAUAAUAUUUAAUAUUGUCAACAGUAAAGUAAGAAAGCACACUAUCACUGCCGCCAUGUUUAUACAUAGAGCAUGUUAUUUCAUGGUGGAUGAUACCAACAAAGUUGACCUCAACAACAAUUUGUUAGAUUACACGUAUAUAACCCAGGAUUUAUUUGAGGUCCUUUUGCUAUAUUAUUGACUCCUACACGAUCAUUAUCGUCACUGUUUCUGGCUCUACCUGGAGUGCCAUAACUACCACCACCAGCCCACACAGAUACACAUACACACACACUCACACACGUAUACAAACUUACAUACACAAACAUACUUAUUAAUCCUUGAUAAUCUAGCAACAACACGUUGGCACUGUUGAUAAUCUAGCAACUCAUUCCAUCAGUUGUAACUAGUAAUGCCACUGUUAUGCCUGCUGAGCCAAUAUACAGUUAUUAUUUACCAAAUAAUGCUUUUUUCAACAUUGAUUAAAUCAGAGUGGAAGCAAAAUGGUAAUAUUUAUGAUAAAUUUUAGUUUGGACGUUCAAUGUCAGGAUCAAAUAUUCUUCAUAGCUACAAACUUAAAUUUUAUGUGGAAAAGCAAUGAUGAAGAGUUUCAAACCUCAACUGACACUUAACAGGAUAUGUAAUUGCUCACACACAACCUUUAGGUUUUGUAAUCCAGUUUUAUCUCAUACAAUAUUAGAAACAGUACACUUUGUAAAUAGCUAUUUUAAAAGUUAGCCAUAUUUUUAAAGUCACAUGUAUUUAUAACUUUUCUGAGUAAUUUUCUUGUUAAUGCCUUAUUAUAGGUGCUUGUAACAUGAAAACUAAACUUGGAUCUUGGUAUAUUCAGUAUUCUAUAGAUAGAUUGUGAUAUGCAUAGCUUCUACUGUGACUCUCAGACCUAAUGUCUCCUCUUAGGUUUCCUUUAAUAUCCUUUCUCAUUCCUUUCAGGGGGCCUAUUUUUAGUUUGCAUUGUUUGCAGCAUUUCAGUAAUACUGUUCUAUUCUAAUAAUAUUGUUCUGCUCUAAUAAACAUUUCUAAAUACUGUGGUUCCAAAGCACUGUAUUGCCAACAUUUCUAGAUAUUAACUAUUAACCCCCUGCACGGUGGGGGUUAAGACACUGCUCUGUCUUAGCAUAAGACCAAUCUUGGAGCUAUAACAAAUGCAUGUAAAGCAUUAGAUCAGAUUCUAAAUACUGCUUCCUGACAUGCUAAAAGAUUCAAUCUUUACUCUCAUUCCAUGUGUAUAUGACUUAAAAAACAGUACAUGCCCUCCCAUUUUUUAAAAGACUGUUAACAGCUUGAACACUAGCAUUAAAAUCUAAGAUAAUCCUUGCAAAAGAGACUUAAUUUUCUAAAACCUGGAAACCUAUUCUUAUUCUGUUAUUAAUUUUUUCUCAAUUAUAUGAGCACAUUUUCAGUCCUAUAGGGUAGAAUGAUUUAGUAUUCCAAGUCCUGUAUUACACUGGAACUGGCUCCUAUAGCUUGAAAGUGCUGAAUGUUCUCAUCUCUUCUCAACUCUGUGGUCAGUAAUCUCAGGUUAGUGGCUUGUCAUCAGCCACAUCAGGAGUAUUUACACCAUAGAAAUAGGCAAAUAUCCUAAAUCAGGCUCUUUUAAAAAUUUUUAUUUUUGAGAGCCAGUCAGUAACAUUUACUAGUGCAUCAUUGAUUUAACCAUUCUAGGGUCAUUAUAUUUUCUGUACUAUAAAUUAUGAAAGUAAAAGGAAUGUUAAAGAUUAUUCAAUCCAAACGCCAUUGUUCAAAACAGUAAGUAAAGUAAAAAAAAAAUUUGCAAACAUCACAUAGCUAGUAAAAGGCGGAUUCGGAAUUACAAUACUGCCUUUCUGAUUCCUUGUCUAUUUUUCUGCUCAUCAUAUACAGAUAAAAAAAGUAAAGGGCACCAAUUUCAAAUUCAUUACAUAUUUAUUGCAGGCCAAGUUUGGAUCAGUCACUGUAUUAUAUGAUGUGGUGAGGUACAAAAAUGAAGCACUGAAAAUGUCAAUUAAACUGACUGCUGACUCUAUCACAUGGAAAUGCCACUUAAUAUCAGCCCUUAGAGGAUGGCACUCUCACCUCCUUACCUUCUUCACAUAUUCAAAAUUAAAUAUUUUUAAAAAGAAUGCAUUUGAGCAUUCUGCUCUGAGGGAAGAAUCACUAUUUUCAGGAACUCUUGCUAUGUAUUAAGUUACCUCUUCACCUUCAAGACAACCUUCCUCAGAAAAACAUCCCUGGUAGAGAAACAUCCCUGUACUGCCUCUGUCUACAGUACAAUCCUUGAUAUACAGGAUCAAAGUUGGCUUUUAACCUUUGUUUUCUAUGUCUUAGCCAGGGACCAGGCUU
Molecule: long non-coding RNA, 3380 nt
Organism: Cebus imitator (Panamanian white-faced capuchin)
Lineage: Eukaryota; Metazoa; Chordata; Mammalia; Primates; Cebidae
Exons: 2
Source: RefSeq, a predicted model, not a curated record